RNAcentral lists this ribosomal RNA (423 nucleotides) under uncultured bacterium. RNAcentral describes it as "bacterial SSU rRNA". It matches the Rfam family "Bacterial small subunit ribosomal RNA", at positions 355 to 774 of the family's 1533-position model. The record is from RNAcentral.
UGAGGAAUAUUGGUCAAUGGGCGCGAGCCUGAACCAGCCAAGUAGCGUGAAGGAUGAAGGUCCUAUGGAUUGUAAACUUCUUUUAUAGCAGAAUAAAGUGACCCACGUGUGGGUUUUUGUAUGUAUGCUAUGAAUAAGGAUCGGCUAACUCCGUGCCAGCAGCCGCGGUAAUACGGAGGAUCCGAGCGUUAUCCGGAUUUAUUGGGUUUAAAGGGUGCGUAGGCGGAAAGAUAAGUCAGCCUGUGAAAGUUUGCGGCUCAACCGUAAAAUUGCAGUUGAUACUGUUUUUCUUGAGUGUACAUAAGGUAGGCGGAAUUCGUGGUGUAGCUGUGAAAUGCUUAGAUAUCACGAAGAACUCCGAUUGCGAAGGCAGCUUACCGGGGUACAACUGACGCUGAUGCACGAAAGUGUGGGUAUCAAACA